UGGGUUAUCAGGACUCCACAGUUUUUACUGUUAUUGUGAAUACCCCUUUACCAUUAUAAAAAUAUUUAGAGAAAUGUGAAAUGGGUUGAUGUACAUUUGUGUCUAUUUAGGCAUCAUUAAGAAAACAGUUCCUACAAUGUCUCAUUAUUAAAUUGUAAACUGUUGUUCAGCAAGAAAAAGAACAAGUUCAUUGGAGUUCCCCAUUUUCCUGAAAAAUCAAGAUGGGAAGGUAAAAUUAUACUGUCUAACUUUUGCAAGCAAAUUUAUGAAAGAAUGUUGGCUUGUCUAAGCUGACUCUACUGCCCAGUGUUAUUUGUCUGUGCUGAAAAUGUUUUACAUCUCCUGCUUUGCAAUUUUCUUUUCAUCGAUAUAUUUGUCAUUCCUUACAGACCUAAAUUUUGUCAUUUAUUAAUCACCUUGUUUUUAUUUCUAGGAAGACUUGAGCCUCUUGUCAGCAGACUUGGGUUUGAAUAAACAGUUUAUAUUUAUGAAAAUCUAACUCUUCUGUUAAAGAGAGUGAUUUGCACAUUUGAAUAAUAUGAAGGAGGUUCAGAUGGCAAAGCCAUCAAGUUCCCUGAACACAGUGGAGAGCUUUGCAAGGUCACUGGUUGGAAAUGGAUAGUGCAGGCUUAUUGGGUUUGAGUACUGAUACUUUUAAUGAAUGAUUUCCUUGUUGUACAGGCAGAUUUAACGCAUUGGAUUGACAACUUAAGAGUUCUGAUGAGUUCUGACUCUCUGUCUCUCUCUGUGUUUGUGUGUAUGAGAGAGAGAAAGAAAGGGAGAGACAGAGACAGAGAAAGGGAGAAAGAGAGAAAAGGAGAGAGCCCUUUACCUCUUCUGUUCUUUGAAGAAGAGAACAACACCUCCCAAAAGGUUAUUAAAUAAUACAUGAAGACAAUGGCUGAUGAAAUAUAGACGGUUCUGAGGUUUCUGUACAAGUGACAUAGAGGCAUGGAGAUGAGCCAUGGGAGAGCUCUUCUCACUGCCUUGAUAUGUUAGAUGUGGCCAUCUUCUGCACCCGGCCAGCCCUGGAGAAAAAGAAGGACCAGGCCAGUACAAGCCUCAAAUGCACUGUAUCGAGGCAGACAGAGAUCAGAUUGCCGGCGAGUAAUAGAGAUGAAUGAAAUCAAGGGUGGCCUAAAUCAACACUAAAGGAUACACACUUUUACCAAAGGGUGCUGUUAUUUACGACGAAGAACAAGGAAGAGAAGCGUCUCUUGUGAAUCACCAGGCAGGUGUUUGCUCCCUGGGGAAGUGAUAGGAAGCCCAUCCCUGA
Molecule: long non-coding RNA, 1276 nt
Organism: Meriones unguiculatus (Mongolian gerbil)
Lineage: Eukaryota; Metazoa; Chordata; Mammalia; Rodentia; Muridae
Exons: 3
Source: RefSeq, a predicted model, not a curated record